Molecule: ribosomal RNA, 420 nt
Filed under: uncultured bacterium
Lineage: Bacteria
Description: bacterial SSU rRNA
Rfam family: Bacterial small subunit ribosomal RNA
Source: RNAcentral
AACGAACGCUGGCGGCAGGCUUAACACAUGCAAGUCGAGCGACCCGCAAGGGGAGCGGCAGACGGGUGAGUAACACGUGGGAACGUGCCCUAAGGUUCGGAAUAGCUCCGGGAAACUGGAAUUAAUACCGAAUGUGUCCGAGAGGAGAAAGAUUUAUCGCCUUAGGAUCGGCCCGCGUUGGAUUAGCUAGUUGGUGGGGUAAAAGCCUACCAAGGCGACGAUCCAUAGCUGGUUUGAGAGAACGACCAGCCACACUGGGACUGAGACACGGCCCAGACUCCUACGGGAGGCAGCAGUGGGGAAUCUUGGACAAUGGGCGCAAGCCUGAUCCAGCCAUGCCGCGUGGAUGAUGAAGGCCUUAGGGUUGUAAAAUCCUUUCGUCAGGGACGAUAAUGACGGUACCUGAAGAAGAAGCCCCGG